This 22-nucleotide microRNA is filed under the name Macaca mulatta (Rhesus monkey). RNAcentral's name for it is "Mml-Mir-624_5p (mature (co-guide))". The record is from RNAcentral. Lineage: Eukaryota; Metazoa; Chordata; Mammalia; Primates; Cercopithecidae.
UAGUACCAGUAUCUUGUGUUCA